MicroRNA precursor from Oreochromis niloticus (Nile tilapia), 65 nucleotides. NCBI's taxonomy places the organism in Eukaryota, Metazoa, Chordata, Actinopteri, Cichliformes, Cichlidae. The record is from Ensembl.
GUCGAAAUGAUUCCAGGAACAGAAUGAAGUCCAACUUCAUUCUGUUCCUGGAAUCAUUUCGACUC